Molecule: non-coding RNA, 117 nt
Organism: Triticum aestivum (bread wheat)
Lineage: Eukaryota; Viridiplantae; Streptophyta; Magnoliopsida; Poales; Poaceae
Source: Rfam
UUUAUACUCCCUCCGUUCGGAAUUACUCGUCCAAGAAAUGAAUGUAUCUAGAUGUAUUUUAGUUGUAGAUACAUCCAUUUUUUUGUGACAAAUAAUUCCGAACGGAGGGAGUAGAUG